GACGUAGGAGGCGAGCGUUGUCCGGAUUCAUUGGGCGUAAAGAGCGCGCAGGCGGCUUGGUAAGUCGGAUGUGAAAUCCCGAGGCUCAACCUCGGGUCUGCAUCCGAUACUGCCCGGCUAGAGGUAGGUAGGGGAGAUCGGAAUUCCUGGUGUAGCGGUGAAAUGCGUAGAUAUCUGGAGGAACACCGGUGGCGAAAGCGGCUCACUGGAUCGAAACUGACGCUGAGGUGCGAAAGCUAGGGUAGCAAACGGG
RNAcentral lists this ribosomal RNA (253 nucleotides) under uncultured bacterium. RNAcentral's name for it is "partial 16S ribosomal RNA". It matches the Rfam family "Bacterial small subunit ribosomal RNA", at positions 524 to 776 of the family's 1533-position model. The record is from RNAcentral.